AUCUUUCUAGUAUAAAUUUUACAAAUGACUUCCAAUCAUUUAAUCUUGGUUUAAAUCCAAGGAAAGAUA
Non-coding RNA from Callorhinchus milii (elephant shark), 69 nucleotides. Lineage: Eukaryota; Metazoa; Chordata; Chondrichthyes; Chimaeriformes; Callorhinchidae. The record is from Ensembl.